AUAUCCGCACCCGGUUGGAAGACUAGUGAUUUUGUUGUUAUAGCAACAACAAUCUAUGGUCUCCUGCACGGAAGUGGA
Ciona intestinalis (vase tunicate) is the source of this 78-nucleotide microRNA precursor. The record is from Ensembl. Lineage: Eukaryota; Metazoa; Chordata; Ascidiacea; Phlebobranchia; Cionidae.